UAGUCCCUUGCAGCGACAGCAGAUGGCUCCCCAAGCGCGCACAUGGCGAUAUUUGUUGCCGCCGCUCUACACUACUACCUGUCGACUGAGAAAAUGUUGAGGGUACGGCACUUGGGUGAAGAAUUGUCCAACUCGUCAUAGUGAUAGCAACAUACACCAAAUCUGCAUCAGAUUAUGCAUUGAAUGGCUUUCAAAUGACAUAAUUUCCAAGUUCUUCAGGGUUAUACUAUGAUAAUAUAGGACAAAUAAAGAGAUACAGCACUA
Molecule: long non-coding RNA, 264 nt
Organism: Schistocerca americana (American grasshopper)
Lineage: Eukaryota; Metazoa; Arthropoda; Insecta; Orthoptera; Acrididae
Exons: 2
Source: RefSeq, a predicted model, not a curated record